RNAcentral lists this ribosomal RNA (253 nucleotides) under uncultured bacterium. RNAcentral describes it as "partial 16S ribosomal RNA". It matches the Rfam family "Bacterial small subunit ribosomal RNA", at positions 524 to 776 of the family's 1533-position model. The record is from RNAcentral.
UACGUAGGGGGCAAGCGUUGUCCGGAAUCAUUGGGCGUAAAGCGCGUGUAGGCGGCCCGGUAAGUCCGCUGUAAAAGUCCAGGGCUCAACCCUGGAAAGCCGGUGGAUACUGUCGGGCUCGAGUCCGGAAGAGGCGAGUGGAAUUCCUGGUGUAGCGGUGAAAUGCGCAGAUAUCAGGAGGAACACCAAUGGCGAAGGCAGCUCGCUGGGACGUGACUGACGCUGAGACGCGAAAGCGUGGGGAGCAAACAGG